RNAcentral lists this long non-coding RNA (433 nucleotides) under Helianthus annuus (common sunflower). Lineage: Eukaryota; Viridiplantae; Streptophyta; Magnoliopsida; Asterales; Asteraceae. The record is from RNAcentral.
AAUAGCAUAACUUAAAUGAAUAGAAUUUUGAGUCGUGGUUCGAUUUGAAUGGGCAAUUUGGGCAGUUCUUCACACGUCACCCGAUUCUUUCCCAUUUCGUGAUACCGUAUUCGUGUCACUAGGUUAAUCACGGUUCCGUGAGUUGUGUUUGGCUCUGUUGGAUUACUGUUCGAAUUUGGGAAAUGAAAUUGGGAUUGCGGUUCUGUACCGACAAAUAGGUUGAAAACAAUCAAGUCUAUCCCUAUUUAAAUACAUGAUUCUAAACCCAUUGAAUGUGGUUCAUUGGGACUGACUUCGAUCCGGUAACCAGAAUGGGGACUGUUUGUAAGUUAGUCGUUGUUUUUGCAACACCCGUUGCAGCCAUUAUCAACCCAGUUGUAUUUACCGGACAUGUUGGAAUUAAGGGUAUAUGAUACUGAAAGUUAUAUUCGGC